GUCCCCUUCGUCUAGCCUGGUCAGGACACCAGGUUUUCGACCUGGCGACACGGGUUCAAAUCCCGUAGGGGAUA
RNAcentral lists this transfer RNA (74 nucleotides) under bacterium. Its description in RNAcentral is "tRNA-Glu". It matches the Rfam family "tRNA". Rfam says of the family: Transfer RNA (tRNA) molecules are approximately 80 nucleotides in length. Their secondary structure includes four short double-helical elements and three loops (D, anti-codon, and T loops). The record is from RNAcentral.